GGCCGAGUGGCGGAAGUGGUAGACGCAGAGGACUUAAAAUCCUCUGGGCGGCAACGCCCGUGCGGGUUCGAGUCCCGCCUCGGCCA
Non-coding RNA from Planctomycetes bacterium RBG_16_64_10, 86 nucleotides. The record is from Rfam. Lineage: Bacteria; Pseudomonadati; Planctomycetota.